Molecule: ribosomal RNA, 237 nt
Filed under: uncultured Bacteroidales bacterium
Lineage: Bacteria; Pseudomonadati; Bacteroidota; Bacteroidia; Bacteroidales
Description: partial 16S ribosomal RNA
Rfam family: Bacterial small subunit ribosomal RNA
Source: RNAcentral
CGGCGCACGGGUGAGUAACGCGUAUCCAACCUUCCCAUGACUAAGGGAUAACCUGCCAAAGGCAGACUAAUACCUUAUGGUCUUCACUGACGGCAUCAGAUGUGAAGUAAAGAUUUAUCGGUUAUGGAUGGGGAUGCGUCUGAUUAGCUUGUUGGCGGGGUAACGGCCCACCAAGGCAACGAUCAGUAGGGGUUCUGAGAGGAAGGUCCCCCACAUUGGAACUGAGACACGGUCCAA